GAAGGAGGAGCUUAUCAAGUUAGCCAUAGUGACCUGCCUGAAACCAAGAAAGAAAAGGACUGUAUCAUCAAUAUAUAUUAGUAGUAUAUAUUAAUGACCUUUCCAAAAUGGCGCAGGCAAGUCAUCCUUGGCUACCAAAUAAGACUCCUUUC
Molecule: non-coding RNA, 152 nt
Organism: Nicotiana sylvestris (wood tobacco)
Lineage: Eukaryota; Viridiplantae; Streptophyta; Magnoliopsida; Solanales; Solanaceae
Source: Rfam